This 474-nucleotide ribosomal RNA is filed under the name Chromobacterium sp. AKB-2008-HE127. Its description in RNAcentral is "bacterial SSU rRNA". It matches the Rfam family "Bacterial small subunit ribosomal RNA", at positions 8 to 477 of the family's 1533-position model. The record is from RNAcentral. Lineage: Bacteria; Pseudomonadati; Pseudomonadota; Betaproteobacteria; Neisseriales; Chromobacteriaceae.
AGAGUUUGAUCCUGGCUCAGAUUGAACGCUGGCGGCAUGCUUUACACAUGCAAGUCGAACGGUAACAGGGUGCUUGCACCGCUGACGAGUGGCGAACGGGUGAGUAAUGCAUCGGAAUGUACCGUGUAAUGGGGGAUAGCUCGGCGAAAGCCGGAUUAAUACCGCAUACGCCCUGAGGGGGAAAGUGGGGGACCGAAAGGCCUCACGUUAUACGAGCAGCCGAUGUCUGAUUAGCUAGUUGGUGAGGUAAGAGCUCACCAAGGCGUCGAUCAGUAGCGGGUCUGAGAGGAUGAUCCGCCACACUGGGACUGAGACACGGCCCAGACUCCUACGGGAGGCAGCAGUGGGGAAUUUUGGACAAUGGGCGCAAGCCUGAUCCAGCCAUGCCGCGUGUCUGAAGAAGGCCUUCGGGUUGUAAAGGACUUUUGUCCGGGAGCAAAUCCUAGUGGUUAAUAACCGCUGGGUCUGAGAGUA